UACGCCCACAUCACGUUCAAACACUGGUUCCCGUACGAUCACCGAAGUUACGCAACGUUGAGGUUGGUCAGUACCUAGAUGAGUAACCGCUUGGGAAUACCAGGUGUUGUAAG
This is a non-coding RNA of Acanthosepion pharaonis, 113 nucleotides long. The record is from the annotation of a GenBank genome assembly. NCBI's taxonomy places the organism in Eukaryota, Metazoa, Mollusca, Cephalopoda, Sepiida, Sepiidae.